UACCAGCUCUCCGAGUGGUGUGGAUGUUUAUUGGGCCUAAAGCAUCCGUAGCUGGCUGGACAAGUCCCCUGUUAAAUCCACCGAUUUAAUCGUUGGUGUGCGGGGGAUACUAUUCGGCUAGGGGACGGGAGAGGCAGACGGUAUUUUCGGGGUAGGGGUGAAAUCCUAUAAUCCCGGGAAGACCACCAGUGGCGAAGGCUGUCUGCUAGAACGCGCCCGACGGUGAGGGAUGAAAGCUGGGGGAGCGAACCGGAUUAGAUACCCGGGUAGUCCCAGCUGUAAACGAUGCAGGCUAGGUGUUUGGAUGGCCACGUGCCGUUCUAGUGCCGCAGGGAAGCCGUUAAGCCUGCCGCCUGGGGAGUACGGCCGCAAGGCUGAAACUUAAAGGAAUUGGCGGGGAGCACCACAAGGGGUGAAGCUUGCGGUUU
RNAcentral lists this ribosomal RNA (428 nucleotides) under uncultured archaeon. RNAcentral's name for it is "bacterial SSU rRNA". It matches the Rfam family "Archaeal small subunit ribosomal RNA", at positions 474 to 903 of the family's 1478-position model. The record is from RNAcentral.